Long non-coding RNA from Zingiber officinale, 681 nucleotides. RefSeq lists it as uncharacterized. NCBI's taxonomy places the organism in Eukaryota, Viridiplantae, Streptophyta, Magnoliopsida, Zingiberales, Zingiberaceae. The transcript is spliced from 4 exons. The record is from RefSeq and is a predicted model, not a curated record.
CAUCGCCGAACCCUAUUCACCCGAACCUUCUCCUCCUUCCCGAUCCUCUCUUCUCCCCUUACUUUGAUCUCUCUCUCGCGGACGAAUCGGAGGCGACGGGAGCGGAGUUUCUCCUUUGGCGAUCAUCUUCGUUCGCCGGAGCUUGCUGGAACACGGCGGAGCCUAGAUCUUCUUCGGCCGAGGGUUCUGUCCGGUGAGUUCUACGGCUGAGCGACGCCGACGAGGUGGCUAGGGCACGACAGGUGCGCGAUCUGUGUCGUCCCUAGCCUAUCAACCCUUCGUUCCGUCUCCACGAGCUGCUCACAGAGCAAUCAGCGUCUUCUCCGCCGGAUCGGGUUGUGCGACAUCGUCCGGAGGUGAUCGAUAGAGGGAAAGGUAUCAGAUCAAUUGUGCUGGAUUUUCUUGAUUAGAUCUUGGAUCUCUUCCUUGUUGCUAACUGAGGUCCCGGUUGAAGUGAGGGGAGGUGAGGUUCCAUUCUUGCUGUGGAAUUGUGUUUGGUUCCGGCAGUAACAAUCACCUCAAUCCAGCAUCAACAGUAGGUUCGAUCUGCUCUGUUCUAUUUGUGAACUUUCUGAUUUCGGCAGUAAACCAUCCAGCAGCAACAACAACUGGAUUUGAGGUUGAGGUCGUCGGGAGAUAUUCCAGUCGCUAGCCCCAUUAUCGCGAGGAUUUUCUUUGUCG